UACGAAGGGGGCUAGCGUUGCUCGGAAUUACUGGGCGUAAAGCGCACGUAGGCGGCUUUCUAAGUCGGGGGUGAAAUCCUGGAGCUCAACUCCAGAACUGCCUUCGAUACUGGAAAGCUCGAGUCCGGGAGAGGUGAGUGGAACUGCGAGUGUAGAGGUGAAAUUCGUAGAUAUUCGCAAGAACACCAGUGGCGAAGGCGGCUCACUGGCCCGGUACUGACGCUGAGGUGCGAAAGCGUGGUGAGCAAACAGG
This 253-nucleotide ribosomal RNA is filed under the name uncultured bacterium. RNAcentral describes it as "partial 16S ribosomal RNA". It matches the Rfam family "Bacterial small subunit ribosomal RNA", at positions 524 to 776 of the family's 1533-position model. The record is from RNAcentral.